Molecule: long non-coding RNA, 1225 nt
Organism: Gallus gallus (chicken)
Lineage: Eukaryota; Metazoa; Chordata; Aves; Galliformes; Phasianidae
Source: Ensembl
CCACGUUUUAGGAAUGGUAGGAAAAAAAAAAAACUCUCCUGUAACUGGUGGGAUGUAUUUGUGUCUCUGUUAAUCAAAAUAUGUGUACUCUAACAUUAGCUGAGAUUGGAAGAUGAAAUUUUCCAGGGACUAUAGUGUUAUAAAUUGCCAUGACUCAUAACAUAUUCCAAUAAAUAAUCCCUGUCUACGGGUAGCAUAUUGUAAUGGAUGCAGAAUGCUUACUCCAACGGUCUUUGACCCCAGUAUCUCUUAUGUGAACUCCACUUUAUGAAGUUUAUUUUCAUAGUUGAAAUGUUAGGUGAAAUCAUAAUAUUUACUAUUACAGAUUUGUUCAAAGCUGGUGUAAUAUAUUGCUAGGCAACAAUCAGUGAGGGGAAAAAAAGAAAAAGUGUUGUCUUCGUUCAGUCAGUUAGCUAAGAGAACAAAUAAUAAAUGUGUGUGUUUAGAUAAUACCCUCCUGAAAGCCCUAGUUGCAUGGAUACAGCAUUGUUAAUGGAAGCAUGCUUUUCUUCUCCAGAAGUAUUUACAUGAAUGUAGCUUGUGACUGUAAUGACUGACAGCCUUUGACAUAAAAAUAAUCUUCAUACCCUAAAGGCAGAGGAGUUCUCAGUCUCUCCUAAGUGUGUUCUACUUUGUUUGGAAUUAUUUUUGAGAAAGCAGAAAGACCAUGGCUUUUCAUCGCAUAAAUGAAAAUCAUUAGGCUGAAAGGAUCACUCUUUAUUCUCUGAAUAAAUAUGUAUCCUAUUGAAAGUGAAAUAUACCCAGAGGGAGGAACAAGGAGACACACACCUGAGUAUGUAUGAGUACUGCCUAUACAUGUUUUCUCUGUUCACUUAGUGAAGUACACUUUCUCUGUGCUCUUAGAUGUAAAUCUCUGUUUCAAGCUCUUAGAAGAAGGUUCCAAAAGCUAAGUGAUGGGAGUGGGAUCUGGGAGAAAUUUUGCUUGCUGACUUCAAAUGGGAAAGGCUGCUUUUCUCAUCCCAUAGUUAGAAAAUUCUUCUCCAUAGUGACCAUGAUGCAAACAUUUUCCACAAAGUUAUUUCUUAGCCAGUCCCUUCCCAGCCUCUGCUAUUUCAUAGGCUUCUAUUGCUCCAGAUAUAGAACCUGUGCUUUUUCUUAUCACCUCUUCUCCAGUUUCUGUUGGAUCAGUUCCCAACUGUAUCAAGGUUCUCUGGACUGAGUAUCUGUUGUGAUUUGAUGAGAUUUAUUGGUCACGGGGCUGUAU